RNAcentral lists this long non-coding RNA (624 nucleotides) under Ananas comosus (pineapple). RNAcentral describes it as "long non-coding RNA (ACOM_LNC037291)". The record is from RNAcentral. Lineage: Eukaryota; Viridiplantae; Streptophyta; Magnoliopsida; Poales; Bromeliaceae.
AUGCAUUCAAAGCAUUAAUCAUAUGCAUUUAUCUAGCAUUUCUAUAGUAUGUUAACAUGCAUUUUUUUCACAUUCUUAUAUUAUGUCAAUAUGCAUCAAUAUGAAAUCUCAUUUCUCUUAGACAUACAGGCGACCUAGUCGCUUCGGUAAGCACAACCCACCUCAUUUCGCAUUCCGAUUGCUUGUCGACACUUGCAAUCGGCCUCCCGCGGCACCCGGCACUCUGUUUGGCCCGAUCUCUCACACGACCACCCGAACGGCCUCCAAUCCACGAUCCGAAAAUUAAAGGUCUUCGGUUAUGUGCCACGAUGCUUCAAAUCCGUUUUCAUGGGUUUACGAUGUCGCCUCGGCCCUCCAGGCGGAAACGAAGCCUAAACGUCCGUUUCUUUAAUAACUUCGCAACGGCUUGACGAAUCGCCGAACCGUCUUCGCCCACGCGUUCGUUUACCUAGCAAUUAGGUUUACAGAGGGUCAAAUGAGAUCAAUCCCUCAUAUUUACCAAAUUAGUAUUUUUGAGCCCUAGAUGCCAUUAACCUCCAAAUAAUCUAAAUUAAAUGUAGCAACAUGCUAACAAAACUCAUUAGAGGCUAUUAGAACACUUAAUGUGAAGGAUUAAGCCAAAUC